RNAcentral lists this long non-coding RNA (1044 nucleotides) under Anas platyrhynchos platyrhynchos (common mallard). RNAcentral's name for it is "lncRNA (ENSAPLG00000027369.1)". The record is from RNAcentral. Lineage: Eukaryota; Metazoa; Chordata; Aves; Anseriformes; Anatidae.
GGAGUAUUUGAGAGGUAAGGAAGUGGUGCCAGGUCCCGUGUGGCUGGUGGGAGUGCUCAUAGUGCUCCACUAGGAGAGACCCAAGGGUUUGGGUGUAGCGAGGAGGGAAGGAAGGAUGAAGCCCGAGGAACACAGAAAGAGAACUUCAUGUCAGAUUAUGAGAUGCAUGCCCAGGGACUCAAGCAGCAGGACUAAUUUCAGAGCACCUUUGACAAUUCAACUCCUUUCUUUAUGUACAUAGGUUGGACUUGGGGCCAGAUUUCUGAAGCUCAUCGUACUGAAUCCAGCUCAUAAGUUUACUUAAUUUGAUAAUAUUUUUCCAACUUGAAGACUUAGAGGGUUCCCAGUUUGGAUUCACCAACCUAGGUCUCAACAGAGAGUCCUGCAAAGCCAAGGAGAUGAAGUCUUUGACCCCCUUGUGAAGGACGUGUGUUCAAUUCCUCCCUACAAAUCCCGCAUGACUUUGGGCAUCUCACCUAGGGCUCGGGCUCCACCAGGAUCUAUCCCCUUGCUGGACACCAUGAAAAAACACCAGCUCCAAAUCACUAUCGAGGAAGACAGCUCUCACCUUCAAAACCAGCUGCCUGAACAUCCAGCCAGCCUUCACUGCUACACAAAUCAGAGAGAGCAAAAAAAAAAAAAAAAAAAAAAGCACGUAUCAAGGAACACAAAUCAGGGAGACCCAGCAUCGAUAGACUCCGAGUUGUCUGUGUGUAUGUCUGUGUCUUAACAUACCCAACUAUGUGGUAGAAAAACAUGAAAUAAUUAUACUCACAGAAGAACAUAUCCUAAAAAAAGGUUUCAUAGCAUGAUCAAGUCUUCAGAUGUCGCCUCCAUCCCUUCUGGCUGAGUUUACAGACUUCGCAUGGACCUGUGCAGUCUCAGGAGCCCGGUAGUGGUGAGGAACCAAAUGCAAAGAUUAUCUGUACGUAUCCUAAGAAAUGCACCACUACCAGACUGCCAAAAUCCUAGAAUCAUAGAAUCCCAGAACCAUUAAGGCUGAAAAAGCCCCCCAGGCUCAUCUGGUCCAACCACCCCCCUACC